UCGGUUAAAAAAAAGUUAUAUUAAAUGAUAAUUAAAUUCUAAAACUGUUUGUGAUUCAUUCAAAUCAUCACCAAUAAUCUCUGCAAGAACACUUGCUACUCUGGAAGUGAUGAAAUCGACUGUUAUCCCGGACAAUAAUUUCCCUGCCAACAAUGCCUGAGAUAAAUUUAAAGGCGGUGUGACAAUCACCGCAGAUCCUAAGGUUUUUGGUGAUUCUUAUAGGCACUCCAGGAGGGAUAGCUAUAAGGCCAAAAGCAAGGGCUAUUUUCUCACUGUGGUACCAAACUUCUGUCAUUUUCUCUUCUUCUUCUAAAUCAUAAAGUGCAUAAUUUGUAUCUGGUACGUAGCCAGCUGCCUUCAUUUCCAUUCUUAACUUAACUAGCAUUGCCUGUAUUUCGUAGUUCAUUGCAUGGGAUGUAUCCUUUGCUUGGAAUACGUGAACUCUAUUCUUUGCAGUCAGCCAACUGCAACCUGCACCCUUCUUGAUUCCAACAUCCAUCAUUUCUUUUCUCACUAGGGUGGCCUCCUCCCAUCUAAAUUAAGUUUCCAGAAAAUUGGUUAGGAAGUGGAGAUGAAAAGACAACAAAAAACGGAAAUUUGAAAAAUCAAAGAGUGAAAGAGAGAUGUUGAAAGCAGCAACUCGUAAAUUUUGUGGGAAAGUAAUGGUUUUCACACAAAAUAUCAUCCAGGGACAUGUUAGAUUUGUGCUGAGAUAUGAAUAAGAACUCAUUGUAUUCAACUUUCGUGUUAGCAAGUUCUAAAGGCACUGAAAUAGUGCAGAAACACAAUAGUGGGAGUUCUAUCUAGCUACCGAUUCUGGCAUAUGGCUGCUAAAUUCAACAUAUCUAUCUAUUAAAUUUCAAGAACUGAAUUCUACUAUCAUCAAUUCAACAUUUAAUUAAUUCAUCAAAGAUUAGGGUAAACCUUGAGAGUUUGAACAAAGGAAUCGAAAUUGGAAACGGAGAAGCAGAUAUGAUGGCCUCUGGGGAGAUGGCUAGGAUCAAGAACCGGUGAAGUGGCGCUGUACGGGCCUUCCGGAAGCUUCGUGAUAGAGCUUCUCUCUAUUAGGUGGAGAGAGAAUGCUUGAGGGAGAUUAAGCCAUAUAACUUUGAAUUCUCCGAAAUCUGGACUCUCAAUCUCCUCAAACCCAAAGAUCUUUGAACACCAACAAAUUGCACAAAUCAGUUGCCAGAGCACAGAUAGUAACUACUAUAAAGAAAUGAAAGAUGGAGAUUGCUUAGACCUCUUUGUAGAAGUUAGCAAGGCGCCUAAUAUCCGAUGAUUCUCUCGAGAUAUGGUUGAGAGAAGCUUCUCUCGCUACAGCCAUUUUUCAAGCCCUUCCAGUUCAGUUAGUGCUUUACCCACCUUAUUUCGCGUGUAGACUGUGGAAGAAACCGACCUUGUUUCGUGGAUGCGUAGCCAAGCGGUACUUUUUCUCUUAAUAAUAAUAACAAAUAAAUUUCUGUAGGAUUCUUUUUUUUUUUUUUAAGUUUUUUUCAUAAUUAACAUUAUUUUUUUAAGUCCGAUGCUAUUUUAUUCUUUAUGAGAAAACAUAGAUUAAAAUCCAAAAAAUCCAACCUUAUCGAUGUAAUUUGAUCUUUUAGUUCUAUUAUUCGAGUUGAUUGAUUCAGUUUAAUUUAUAAUUUUAACUAACUUUGGUUUUUCUUUUUAAUUUUUUAAUUUAAUUCAAGUCAAAAUGUCCCCAAUUCCGAUUCGGUUAAAAAAAAGUUAUAUUAAAUGAUAAUUAAAUUCUAAAACUGUUUGUGAUUCAUUCAAAUCAUCACCAAUAAUCUCUGCAAGAACACUUGCUACUCUGGAAGUGAUGAAAUCGACUGUUAUCCCGGACAAUAAUUUCCCUGCCAACAAUGCCUGAGAUAAAUUUAAAGGCGGUGUGACAAUCACCGCAGAUCCUAAGGUUUUUGGUGAUUCUUAUAGGCACUCCAGGAGGGAUAGCUAUAAGGCCAAAAGCAAGGGCUAUUUUCUCACUGUGGUACCAAACUUCUGUCAUUUUCUCUUCUUCUUCUAAAUCAUAAAGUGCAUAAUUUGUAUCUGGUACGUAGCCA
RNAcentral lists this long non-coding RNA (2063 nucleotides) under Jatropha curcas. RNAcentral describes it as "long non-coding RNA (JCUR_LNC001001)". The record is from RNAcentral. Lineage: Eukaryota; Viridiplantae; Streptophyta; Magnoliopsida; Malpighiales; Euphorbiaceae.